Molecule: ribosomal RNA, 992 nt
Filed under: Lactococcus sp.
Lineage: Bacteria; Bacillati; Bacillota; Bacilli; Lactobacillales; Streptococcaceae
Description: bacterial SSU rRNA
Rfam family: Bacterial small subunit ribosomal RNA
Source: RNAcentral
CUAUACAUGCAGUUGAGCGCUGAAGGUUGGUACUUGUACCGACUGGAUGAGCAGCGAACGGGUGAGUAACGCGUGGGGAAUCUGCCUUUGAGCGGGGGACAACAUUUGGAAACGAAUGCUAAUACCGCAUAAAAACUUUAAACACAAGUUUUAAGUUUGAAAGAUGCAAUUGCAUCACUCAAAGAUGAUCCCGCGUUGUAUUAGCUAGUUGGUGAGGUAAAGGCUCACCAAGGCGAUGAUACAUAGCCGACCUGAGAGGGUGAUCGGCCACAUUGGGACUGAGACACGGCCCAAACUCCUACGGGAGGCAGCAGUAGGGAAUCUUCGGCAAUGGACGAAAGUCUGACCGAGCAACGCCGCGUGAGUGAAGAAGGUUUUCGGAUCGUAAAACUCUGUUGGUAGAGAAGAACGUUGGUGAGAGUGGAAAGCUCAUCAAGUGACGGUAACUACCCAGAAAGGGACGGCUAACUACGUGCCAGCAGCCGCGGUAAUACGUAGGUCCCGAGCGUUGUCCGGAUUUAUUGGGCGUAAAGCGAGCGCAGGUGGUUUAUUAAGUCUGGUGUAAAAGGCAGUGGCUCAACCAUUGUAUGCAUUGGAAACUGGUAGACUUGAGUGCAGGAGAGGAGAGUGGAAUUCCAUGUGUAGCGGUGAAAUGCGUAGAUAUAUGGAGGAACACCGGUGGCGAAAGCGGCUCUCUGGCCUGUAACUGACACUGAGGCUCGAAAGCGUGGGGAGCAAACAGGAUUAGAUACCCUGGUAGUCCACGCCGUAAACGAUGAGUGCUAGAUGUAGGGAGCUAUAAGUUCUCUGUAUCGCAGCUAACGCAAUAAGCACUCCGCCUGGGGAGUACGACCGCAAGGUUGAAACUCAAAGGAAUUGACGGGGGCCCGCACAAGCGGUGGAGCAUGUGGUUUAAUUCGAAGCAACGCGAAGAACCUUACCAGGUCUUGACAUACUCGUGCUAUUCCCUAGAGAUAGGAAGUUCCUUCGGG